Molecule: non-coding RNA, 21 nt
Filed under: Arabidopsis thaliana (thale cress)
Lineage: Eukaryota; Viridiplantae; Streptophyta; Magnoliopsida; Brassicales; Brassicaceae
Source: RNAcentral
UUAGGUCGAGCUUCAUUGGAA